This 23-nucleotide non-coding RNA is filed under the name Rattus norvegicus (Norway rat). The record is from RNAcentral. Lineage: Eukaryota; Metazoa; Chordata; Mammalia; Rodentia; Muridae.
UUUUAAAUUGGGACUAUGUAAUU